GGGACUUAAGGGCCCUGGAGCAGCUAGCCGGCCUGUGUGCUCUCUGCUGUCUGCAACUCCUCAAAAGAAAAAGAAACCCACUUUGAGCCCUAGGGUGAAUGUCAGAUAUUGGAAAGGUGGUCAGUGGCUCUCCGUGAUGUUCCAAAUGUCUUCAGUAGCCAGUACAGGCCAUCCAAAUUACCCUCCGAAUUCGCUUAUUACCAAAUUGUCUUCCUUUAAAUAAAUGAAUCAAAUGGGGCAAGAGCCAUUUGCCAAAGAAAAAUCUUACCUUUUCGGGGUAAAAAUUCAUAGCUAAGAAAAUUCAUCCUUCUGCUCCCAAUACUGAAAUAUAAUAAAAACUAAUUCUUAAAUAUUUGAACCCCUUAAUUUUGCUCAAUUAUAUGAUAUAGUUCCAUCUUCUACCUCCUCAGCUCCUUUUGUCUGUUUGUUUUUAAUAUUCCAAACUGCAUGCAUCACCAUCACCAUUCUUUUCCUGAUGCCAGAAACCUAGAGGACCAACUUCGGGAGUCUUGGGAGCGUUGUCAAGCAUGGGCCUUGAACUGUUGAUCAGCACUCACUGAGAAACAGCUACCUGGAAAGCUUUGCCACUAUCUUGGGCUAAACUAGUGAAGAGACCAUAUGUCAGAGAAAGUGUCCCUGGUGGAAAAUUGUCUAAGUGUGACCAACAACAGGCUUGUUUUACCUAGGAUGUUAUUACAAGUAGUCUCAAAUCCCUUUGGGAAUAUAUUAAGUAUAUAUUUAAACAUAUGCAAUUUUAUAACUGUCGAUAGCUGUCAAUAAAUCAAAAUGGAC
Molecule: long non-coding RNA, 792 nt
Filed under: Marmota monax (woodchuck)
Lineage: Eukaryota; Metazoa; Chordata; Mammalia; Rodentia; Sciuridae
Source: RNAcentral